UUCCAGCCGCCACUCUCUUCCUCCCUAUCUUCUUCACGUUUUUCUCACCACCACCGAAGCUACCUCACACCUCACAGUAACCACCGUGGCGCCAUCACGUCAGGCCGCCCCUCGCCAAGCUGAGGGCACCGAAAGAACCGCAUCGUCGUCCUCUCCAUCCCCCCCCAAAGGAAUCGAGCCGGGAGAGCUCCAAUCGACGGUGAAUUCGCCGAUUCCCCACGACGGCCGCCGAGCUCCGGUGAUGAUUUCGACGGCUCCGUUGAACCUCCGGCCACAGCGACCUAUUCCUGAGCAUCCUGAUGGUCGACGCUGGCGGCUCUCCGGCGAUCCCCUGGACUCCACACCGUCACCAUGAGGUUCCUCACGUUGAGGCGCAUCCCCGACGCCAACUUCCCCGUCCUGAUUCGCUGUGAAUCGCUGGAUUGAUUUCAGACUUGAUCUCUUUCCGUCAUGGAUGAACCUGUACAGCUCGUAUGUGUGUUUCACGUUAUCUUCUACCUGUGCUUCCCGUCCUAAA
This is a long non-coding RNA of Lolium rigidum, 517 nucleotides long. RefSeq lists it as uncharacterized. The record is from RefSeq and is a predicted model, not a curated record. Lineage: Eukaryota; Viridiplantae; Streptophyta; Magnoliopsida; Poales; Poaceae. The transcript has 2 exons.